Molecule: ribosomal RNA, 257 nt
Filed under: uncultured bacterium
Lineage: Bacteria
Description: partial 16S ribosomal RNA
Rfam family: Bacterial small subunit ribosomal RNA
Source: RNAcentral
GACGAACGCUGGCGGUGUGCUUAAUACAUGCAAGUCGAACGGGACCUUCGGGUCUAGUGGCGGACGGCUGAGUAACACGUAGAUAACAUGCCCUUUACUGGGGGAUAACACCGGGAAACCGGUGCUAAUACCGCAUAAGCCUGAGGUUGAAAUACUUUUGGUUAAAGAUUUAUCGGUAAAGGAUUGGUCUGCGCCUGAUUAGCUUGUUGGUAGGGUAAAGGCCCUACCAAGGCAAUGAUCAGUAGGUUGGUCNGAGA